RNAcentral lists this ribosomal RNA (253 nucleotides) under uncultured bacterium. Its description in RNAcentral is "partial 16S ribosomal RNA". It matches the Rfam family "Bacterial small subunit ribosomal RNA", at positions 524 to 776 of the family's 1533-position model. The record is from RNAcentral.
UACAGAGGGUGCGAGCGUUAAUCGGAAUUACUGGGCGUAAAGCGCGCGUAGGCGGCUUCGCAAGUCGGGUGUGAAAUCCCCAGGCUUAACCUGGGAACUGCAUUCGAGACUGCAUUGCUAGAGUAUGGGAGAGGGAAGUGGAAUUUCCGGUGUAGCGGUGAAAUGCGUGGAUAUCGGAAGGAACAUCAGUGGCGAAAGCGACUUCCUGGACCAAUACUGACGCUCAUGUGCGAAAGCGUGGGGAGCAAACAGG